RNAcentral lists this long non-coding RNA (15546 nucleotides) under Solanum tuberosum (potato). RNAcentral's name for it is "long non-coding RNA (STUB_LNC010125)". Lineage: Eukaryota; Viridiplantae; Streptophyta; Magnoliopsida; Solanales; Solanaceae. The record is from RNAcentral.
AUUUCUUCCAUAUCAUUUCUGCUUUAUUUGGCUCCAAGGACAUUUCUAUGUGUAGUUGUUUUGUUGUAGUAACAAUAAACUGCAGUUGGUUGUAGUUGUUUGAAGUAAUGAAAUGGCGUUUGAUUGCUACUUCCAUAGUUCUAUUAGUCUGUUAUAUUUGGCAAAAAACAAUUCCCUUUGUCAUGGUUAAGUGAACUUUCUAUUGCUUAGUACAACAGUAUAGUACUAUAGUGGCUCAUUCUAAAACAAUGGGUAAGAACUAAGAAGAUUUGCUGUAACACUAAAAUUGAAAAUAAAACUAAAACAUAGUAACAUACUUGUAAUUGUAAAAUUAGAGUGAAGCAUAUAUUUUACCUUUAGAACAUGUAGUCAUACUUUAGUUUGUUGCCUAUUUUAAGAAAUAAAUGCUAUAUGGACAUGUUUGCAGCACAUUUUGUUUACAUGUUUGAUGUGCCUCUCUGUUCCACCUCCUGAGUUCUUGCCUGGGUAUUUUGAAUCUGUAGAGUGGCUAACAACUGUUGAAUGUGUUUUUUAAUUGUUAAAUUUUGCUGUUUUUUUAAAGCUUACUUGUAGGUUUCCAUUUCUUUUAUAGUUAUUUCUAUUAGCAUUUAAUGAUUUACAAUGGACCCUCCCUCUUAGUAACUAAUUUCCUCAAGUUUGUAGAGAUUUUCUUUUACCUUUUUCUGUUGAGAGCUUGUAUUUGAGGUUUACUGUGUUUAGGUGAUCUCACCCUAUGGGUGUUGUUACUGUUCCUUGCAUAUAGUUGUUACUGCUUUGCUAUUCAUUGCCAUGUUUCUCCACCUAUUUUUUCGUUUUAUUACCGCUUGGAGUUGCUUGAGCUGAGGGUCUUUCGGAAACAGCCUCUCUACCUCUCCGAGGUAGUGGAAAGACUGCGUACACUCUACCCUCCCAGACCCCACUUUGUGGGAUUUCACUUGGUAUGUUGAUGUUGAGAGCUUGUAUAGAGGUUAAGUAUCCUUUGCGGUUGUAUUAAAUCAUUUGCCUUGUCUCUUUACAGGCUGCUAACUAUUUAAACAUAAAGAGCUUGCUAGAUCUGACAUGUCAGACAGUAGCAGACAUGAUUAAGGGAAAGACGCCUGAGGAGAUACGCAAGACGUUCAACAUCAAGAAUGACUUCACUCCUGAGGAAGAGGAAGAAGUCAGGAGGGAGAAUGCCUGGGCAUUCGAGUGAAUUUGAGUCUGUUAAGCGUCCAUAUCUGUAGAUAGAUCUGCAAUAUACUUUAGUAGAUGCUAUGAAUAACUUAUAUUAGUAAGUGUGUGACUGUUGUUUCUCGGACCUUCUGGCUUUGGCUGUUGAACCUCUUUUUCUCUGUUAUGCCAUGGUUUCUUGGUAGCCGAUGUCCAUAUUCAUUGAUCUAUUAUUGGAAAUUCAUAUUGUUUCUUGUGUUUAUCAUCACUGGUGCAUUUAGCUUCUUUACUCUUUACUUAAAUGUAAAGGUCAAUUCCUUGGCUUGUGCAAUGGUUUGGUUGUGUUGUUUUCUGUCACAAAAGGAUGUCAGACUAGAGAGUGUAUGUGAGUAGUCUUACAUGGGCAUGGUAUUUGAAGGCACAUAAUGGCCUAGGAUUUGUAGGUUCUUACCUUGAAUCCCGCUUUAGACAGACUCAGUUGAGAGUUUGAGUGUCACUAAGAGAUGGAGAAGUCCACUUUGGUGGGUGAUACAGUGUGAUGGCCUUGGUCCAAUGAGUAGUGCAUUAUUAGAAGAACCAAUAUUUAUCAUAAAUAAGAGCUGUAUAUGUGAAGUUUGACCUUCAUAUCUUAUUCACGAUAAUUUCUUCUCUGAUUUUUUUCCUCAUUAAACGGCUGCACAACUAUACUUGGGUGUGGCAGGAUAAUUUGUUUGGUCUUAUGUUUCACUGUUCUUAUUAUGUGAUUAUUUCCAUGACAUGUUUGUUUCAGUCGGAUCUGGGCAACGUUACCUGUUGUGGCAGGAUGACUGGCCAGACCUUGUAUUCCUGUUGUUGUUUACACGACAUUAUGUCCCUGUUGGUUGAAGCUGUUGGUUGAAGGUAGCUGGUAUGGAAAUAUAUUUGCAAUUUUGCCAAUGUAGUUCGGUGAGUGAUGGUCAUUUUCUUUUUAAAAAUAAAAAUAAAAAUAAAAUCAUAAAAUUAUGAAUGGGCUAUGAGGAGAUCCUUUUCGUCAUUUAAAUAUGCGGCUAAUACAUGAACAAAGAAGAAAAAAAUAAUAAUACUCCAAACAGAGUAUACUCCAAGAUCAAAUGGUUCCGGCUAGUGACAUUAUGCGAAUGAAAAAUGGUUCUGCCAGGUGUUGAUUAUUGUGAUUUGAUGAACUUGACACAUGAGAUUGAUCUAUUUGAUACUUGUGAUUGAUCUACUUGAUACAUGCGAUAUAUUCAUUUGAUACUUGUGAUGGAUAUUCUUUAUCCUUGUUCGUUGUUGAACUCUGACUAUUGGAUUGUGAUUGUUAACCCUUGUGAAUUGUGUAUUGUGAAACUGUUAGAUUGGGUUGAUUUUUUGCAGGUUAUAGUUUGAGGAGGUUUGGUUGGGAUGAAUGGAGUACUUGUAUUCUAGCUAAUUUUGUCUUGUUUAUUUGGUUACUUAUUGAGUACCGUAUUGUUUGGUACUCACUCCUCAUUUUUACACUUGUGUAGGUUCUAAGUCUGGAGCCAUGUGAUUGUUCUUCUUCUGGUUACAUCUGAGGAAACAUUGAGAAGUAGUUGCUUGUCAUCUGGCGGGCCCUCUUGUUUCUUGUUUUAUAUUUUGUUCUAUUUGAGAAAUAAAGACAUUGAGACUUGUAAUUAUCUUUCAAUUUCGCACUUUAUACAUUAGUGGCUUGUACACGUGACAAUUAGUUUUGGAGGUUAUAUUAGAAUGAAUAAGUUUUCCACUCUUAUGUUAUUCUUGUUUUACUUUUCACAUAUUUUUGUUUCGUUGGGUUGAGGCUGACUUGUCUUGAUGGAAAUACACGAGUGUCAUUACGCCCAUUUUUGGAUCGUGACAAUCUCUAUCGAUUGUUGUGAUUUUUGACCUGCUUUCUAAAAAAAUGAAAAAAGGAAGAUAUGGGCAGUAAUUAAAACAGAAAUCAACUUGUGGCUAAAACUUACCCUUGAAAGCAAACAAAUAUGGACACUUCAUUGAAAGCUUGAAAAAAAAUGGAUUAUCACAUUUCUAAAGAAAGAAAGAAGGAAUGAUCUUCGAUGUACAUAUAGAUAUACUUUUUUAAAAAUAUUAUAAUGUAAGUGUAAUUGGUAAUGACUUUACUAAUUGAUGGCUAAAGAUUAAAAUAUCCUUUUACUUUCCUCAAUGGACUUCUAACGCACAUGUUAAAACUAGAAGUGUUCACAGGUCUAUUUAGAUUAGUUAUUGUUCAAAAUCAAAAUCAAAUCAAUUUAAUUAGUUUUUAAAUUAUUAAAAUCAAAUCAAAACUAAAUAAUUAAUAUAUAUAUAGUUCGAUUAUUAAUAAUACACUAAAAUAAAAUAAACGAUUCAUAGAGAAAAAACGACAACAAUGCAUUUGAAAGGAAUAAAUUGUUUUCGUGUCAUUUUAUAAUUCUUAUACCAGAACUACAAUUAUGUUAACUUCCUGCUUAUAUUGUUAACUAAUCCACUGUACUAUAACAACAACAACAAUAUCAUUCCCAUUGAAAUGCGCACACCUUACUACGGUUUCCAAAAGACCCCCUCCUCAAGUGUAUCGAACCCAUGGAAAAGAUGGAGAAAACAUGAGACAUAAAAUCGUAGCAAUAGUAAAAUGUAAUGAUAAUUGAAAUGCAAUAAACAACAAAUGGAAAGAACUAUUAGGGCACGACUGGUCCUAAGAAAUACAUUAUACCUCUACAUGACAAGACACCACUCUAACCCCUACUAGCCUUUUACCCUAAUACGCGUCUCUAGUUCUUCAUAUCUAAAGUCAUGUCCUAAGUAAUAUGAAGCUGCAACAUGUCAUUUUUACCCCUUACUAGCCUUCUACCCUAAUACGUACCCUUCCAAUUCAGUUUAACCAUCAUUCGGGGACGGAUGAUCCCACGGGAAAGAUGUAAAACCCCAAAAAUUCUAACACAAAUCUUAUCUUGAAAAUUUCUGUAGUCUGAUGGGCCCGUAGAAGUAUCUACAAACCAUAGACAGAUUCGUAGAACCGGGUCCUUGAAAGUUGGUUAUCAAGUCUAAGUUUCACGAACCAGACUACGGGUCGUAUAAGUUCCUACGGUCUCAUGGAAACUAAAUCCUGAAGAACACUCCCAGUAAGGUUCCUACAAAAGAGAAGGACAACCCAUCAAAGUUUCUAUGGGCCGUAGAAAGGGUCCUCAAUCCCCAACUUCAGGAAUCUAGAAAACUCAACAUGUUCCUAUGAGAGGGUCUACGACUCAUAGACUUUUGUACGGACCAUAAAUGGCCUUCCGUAGACGACUCCAGUCAGUUUUUAAGAGGGGUUAUUUUUCUCACUCUUUUUAAAUCUGAACCCCGAAGUUUUUACACCUAAUUAAUGUCACAAGAAUCCCUAGCACAAAAUUGAUUUGGAAGCUUCCUUACCAAUUAAGUUUUGAUAUAAGAUUCUACUUAGAUCAACUUCAAAUAACUAUAUCUCUUAGAUUAUGAAAAUUUAGGGGCUCAUAACCAUUUAGAUUAAAGUUAUUUGAGUCUUAUUUCCAAUACCACCAAUUUUACAUCAAUCAUAGUUUUGAGUAAUUAGUUAUGAUCAUUUUACUAACCUGAUACAGUACAAUGACGAAAUAGCCAACGGGGAAAUACUAAAAAGGAUCAUUUUUGUCUUUUUACCACAACACACCCUAAACAAAAAAUUUGACUCCUAAAAACCUCUAAACAAUCAGAUUUUCAUCUCUUAAUUCUCCAUUCUCUUCUCUCUCAAACUCCAAGGUAAAAUCCUAAGGAAAAUCAAAGCAUAAGACUUCCAUGCAAGAUUCUUUCGAAUCUUUUUCAAGAUUCUUCUUCAAGGUAAGUCUUUCUCCAAGAAUUUUAUUCUUUCAAACUCAAAUUCAUUCAUACAAUUAUGAAUCAUCAAUGAAAAUCUUAGUUCUUGGCCAUAGGGUUUCAAGAAACUAAUUCAAGAAUCUCAAGAAAGGUUUUCUUGAUCAUUCUUCUUCAAGCUAGGGUUUCAAACUUCAUCAAGAACUUUAUUUUUUCCAGGUAUGUAAGGUUAUUCAUAGUGUUGGAAUAGUUCGUCCUCAUGUCUUUCAUCUCAAUUCUAUUAGUGAAACGUUAUGUUUAGAGCAUUAUCAACAAUUUUUUUAAAAUUAAAAUUCAGUUGUGUUUCUUUUCUGAGUUUCAAUUCCUUAACCGUUGAGAUUCUGAUUUCUAUUAUGUAUAUUGAUUCUAAUUUUUUGUUUAUAUUUUGUAUCAUAUGAACCCUAUUUGUUUAUAAAAAUUACUAUAUGAGAUUUCUUAUACAUUAAUUUUGGACUUUAUAGGUAAGUCCAUAAGUAUAUGUUUUAAAUGCAUGUUUGGAAAAGAGUUUUUAAAGAAAGGAUCAAAUGAUUUCAUAUGUUUUAUUUGACAGUUCAGAAAGAGAAAGAAUAUAAUUGAUUUUUUGAAAAGUACUUCGGUAAAGAAAAAUAAAAGUAAAGUAAAGUAAUAGUCUCUUUUUCACUCAAUGUCCCAUAAAACUACGUAGCCAACGUACAGAUGGUUUUCACUACUUGUUCAUAUAUUGUUUUGCUUGAUAUGUAUUUAGUCAUCAAUUAUGUUAUUGUUUUAUUCAGUCAUAUUACACACUUGUAUAUUCAAUAUAUUGAUGUCAUUCGAUCUACAUCUUUUGAUGAUGCAGAUUCAAAUAUUUACGGUCAUCAACAGAUGUUCCGUUGACUUCAUCUACUCGUCAGCUUCUGGUGAGACCUCUCUGAUUUCUGAGGACUCCAUUUUUAUUGCUCUAUAAUAUUAGGAUUUUAAGGUGUUGUGGGUCUUGUCCCGAUACCAAUCUUUAGAUAGUAGAGACUUCAUGGGCAAACAGAGUUAGACGGUUUUCACUAUUUUACUUGGAUGUUUUACUAAACACUUAAGGGUCGUUUGGUAGAAUGUAUUAGGAAAAAUAACGCAUGCAUUAGCAUUGUGUAUUACUAGUACCUUGUUUGGUACUCUUUUCCAACCUAUGUAUAACUAAUGCUUGCAUUAGUUAUACACUCUAUUGUGUAUUAAUGUGUGUAUUGUUAAUGCCAUGAAUUUCUAGGUAUUAGCAAUGCAACGGUUUUAAUGCAUGCAUUAGAUUAUUAUUAUUAUAUUUAUUAUAAUUAUUAUUAUUAUAAUAAUUAUAAUUAUUAUUAUUAUAAUUAUUAUUAUUAUAAUUAUUCUUAUUAUUAUUAUUAUUCUUAUUAUUAUAAUUAUUAUUAUUUAUUAUAAUAAUAAUAAUUAUUAUUAUUAUAUUUAUUAUAAUUAUUAUUAUAAUAAUUAUUAUUAUAAUUAUGAUAAUAAUUAUAAUUAUUAUUAUUAUUAUUAUUAUUAGAGGGUAGUUUUGUCAUUAGUUAAUCUAAUGCAUGCAUUAAAACCAUUGCAUUGCUAAUACCUAGAAAUUCAUGGCAUUAACAUAAUAAUAAUAAUGUGGGGGUAUUUUUGUAAACAAAUAUUUUUUAAUAGUCUUUAUACAAGGCUUGCUAUUUCCAAUACAUCAAACCAAACAAUGUAUAAGAAAUAAUGCAAGCAUAACUAAUGCAUGCAUUACUAAUACAUCAUAUUCAACAUUAUUCUUAUACACUCUACCAAACGACCCCUUACUAUUUAUAUUAAGUAUUUUCAGACAUUGUUUUAAAAGUUCUUUAAAUAUUUUAAAUGCUCAUCUAUUAAAGCUUCCGCGUAUUCUAUUGAGUCAUAUGUGUCAUAGUCAGACAUGUCAAGUAUUUGCUUGCGGACCAGCAAUGAUUCUCGAGUGUCGGUCAUGUCCAAGGUGUAGGCUCAAGGCAUGAAAAUAAGACACAACUUCCACCAUAAGGAAAGAUGAGUAGAAGUUGUUAGGGAUCAUCAUCUUCUUCACCUAUGAAAUAUUAACUGAAUACCUACAACCAAACUAUAUCAAGUGGCAUAGCAAGAGUAGUAUUAGUACGAACAACACGUACUGGCAGGCAUCCAAACCCACCACAUAAUAUAAAGUAGACACCACCCAAAGUCUCUAUCCACGUGCUUCUACCAUCUCAGAUAUAAUACCUAUAAACUAGUAUACUUGAACCCAACCUUGUACCUCAUUAUUCUGCUAUCAACUUUGAUGUUUCCUAAGCUAGCCUUUUAUGUCACUUUAACACUUUCCAAAUUUGUCUGUGAUGUCACCCUAAUAUCAUAUCAUAAUAUAACCCUACUAUCACAUAGAGAUUACCGAAUACAAGGCCACCACUAAUGUCAAAUCAUAGACUAACCUUUCUACCACAUAAUGUCCACGAACAUAAGGUCAUCACUAGCCAUAUCAAUCAACUUGCUUGUCCUUCUAGGAAAGUACAUGACACUAGCGCAUUAGACCAACUCAUCUCUCUUGACUCACAUCCCCAUUAUCAAAUAAGUUCUAAAAAAUUAGACAACCAUGAUCAAUCACAUCACUUAACCAUAUACCAGUGUUGAACUUAACAACCACCAUUUCAAUAAAUCAAUCACAUCAUGAUAAAUAGAAAUUGAGUUUAGAAAUAAAUAAAGCAUUGAGACCUCAUAAACUUAACUCAAUAGUUAAAAUAACUAUGCAGAAUAACACCUAAGGAUUCAUUAUCAAUAAACAUUAAUUAUACCUCAACUAUCAUAAGUAACACAUAAUUUGGACUCUCAAUCCUCACCUUAGAUUUAUAUGCAUAACCCGCAAUACCAUAACCACAUGUAACAACAAUGGAGAAUAUGUAGGCUCUCAGCCACAAUAUCAUGAACAAUAACAUUUGGGUCAAACAAUGCAUAACUACAUGUCUCACCUGAUCACAAUGUAAUUAUUGGGCCCCCUCAUGAAAUCACAAUCACAUACAUGGUCCUCUCACGGAAUUCAAACUCAAGCUAUUAGUAUACCGACAUGGUACCCAAGCCAUCUAUAGUUAGUGUAUCAGUAUGGUGUCUAAAUCAUUCAUAGUUAGUGUACCUGCGUGGUACUUGAGUCAACCAACAAUCACGCAUAAUCACAUAGCGCAAUGGACAAGACCACUUGAAAAUCACAAAUCACAAUCACAAGUUCAUUGCAUGAGAUGACCAACAUGAUGUCAUUGCCUCCCUACCAUGCAUUGCAAAAAUGUUACUACAAGUAGUAAACAUGCAUACAUACUUAAAUCAGAAACAUACAACCAACACCUACAUGGGUAUAUCAAUAGCCUAACACUAGAUCCCUUUUUAUGAACACACAUUCGUUUUCUUGAUUAUCACAACCUUAGAAAUGGUUAUAACCUAACAAUAUCAUAACACUUAAUCUUACCAUUAACACCAAAUCACCCUUAAGAAAACUCAAGACUAACAAUCGAGAACUAGAGAACCACCGGUUUUCCUUAGUCAUUAUCUUUUCUUGCCCUGACAUCAAUAAAUAACAACAUUUAGUCAUCUAAACUCCAUACCCAAAGGUUUAGUCCCAUCAAUCCACAAAAUACCAUGCAGUAGUUAAGAAAACAUGUCUAACUACUCAAUUAAGGAAACCUAGCCUACCUGGGUGCCAAACAAUUGUUGUAGAAGUCUGAUCGCGAAUCUUUAACCCUUUGUAAAGCGUUAGCUUGUUCUUAGUCUAAAAUAACAAAUACAACACAACAUUCAAUCAAACAAUGACCUAAUAACUCCCGGAUUGCAACUAAAUCCUAACCCCCAAGCCAAUAUAUGAUCAUCUUCCCCAACUUAGGACUUUUUCCACCAUGAAAUUAUGUCAAAAGUUUCCUCCCAAGAGUAAUAACUUAGAUUCUAAGACUUAAGAAUCAAUGUACAAGGAUGUGUAGUAAUAAUGUUACCUUUAUUGAUGCUUUCCAUGGAAAAUCAAGUGUAACCUGCCUUAAAUUUCCCCUCCCAAGUCCAAGAACACAAAAUGCAAAAAAUAAGGUUUUUAGGGUUAUUUCUGCAUAAAACCCCGAUUCUAUCACUAAAGCAACGCCACUACAAUCGUGACUAACCUCAUUGUAGAGGUCUGAUCCCCAAAUCAAAUGAAAUCGAUUAAUUUAAUCGGCUUGAUUUGAUUUUUUAAUAUGAAUUAAUUUUUACCCUGAUCGUAAACACCCCGCUGCCCGCCCCAAUGGAAACCAUCCUUCCUAUCAUCAUCAUAUAUCAUAUAUCAUAUAUCAUCAUAUCAUAUCAUAUAUAUAUUAUAAGUGGGAAGCUUCCAAGUUAAAAGUUGAAUUACAAAAAUACCCUUCAACUAAAAAAAAAGAUAUUUUUAAUAAAUGGUUGUAAUAUAAUUUUAUACUUAUUAAGCUUUAAUUGUUUUGUAUAAUAAAAUAAUAAACGGAAAAUGAAAAAACCAAGGAGACGAUGAUCAGAUGAUAAUUUUUUAUACUUAAAAACUUUUGAUUUUGUGUUAGAGAAAAGAACCCUUUCCUUUCUUCAUUUAUUUUUUUAAAAAUAGACCAAUAACUCUAUAAAUUAUCUAAUCUUUCCUCUUCCCCAAUACCAAUAACUCUCUAAAUUAUCUAAUCUUUCCUCUUCCCAAUUUAUUACUCAGUUAAAUCGUAAGUUAAUAUAAUUAUAUAUAUUGAAUGAAAGAUGAAACAACUUCCUGAAUAUACCGUUCAUAUUCCUUUUUUGCACUUAGUAUAAUUUAUAUAAAUGCAUAUUAUCAUAUAAGGUAAUAGGACUGCUUCACUUCAGUUGCAACUUAAUAUUAUGAUAUAUUUUUUUGCCUCAUAUUCUUCGUAUUGCUUUCAUUUAUUUUUUUUCUAUUUCAUGUCUAAUGUAGUGUAUUUCUUUGCUUAUAACAGUUAGGUGAAUAAUUUUUCUUCCAUAUUAUUCUCAUUUGUAAAUCAUAAGGUGUGUGCGUUCAUAUUCUCAUUCAUUCCUGAUUUUUUUAAUAAUGUAGAUGCAUUCUUAGUUUGAAUUUAUUUUUACUAUUUAUUAAGUUUCGUAAUUGGAGUGGUAGUUCCUUCAAAGAAAUAUUAGUAAAUGACAUUUCAAAUAUCGUGAAAAAGAUAUUUAGAGUUGAUUUAUAUUGUAAGCACAUUUGAAUGUUGCAUAUGAUUAUGGUAGUCCCCCUUUCUCAUUUUCUAUCUCCAUUUUCACUCUUAAAAAGAUAAAAAUGAUUUCUUUCCUAAUGUAAUCACCAUUCUUUUGCCUUCUUUUUUCAUAUAAAAGUGAUAGUCAAUUCAUGAUUUUAUAAAAAGAACUACAAAAAUGGAUACGAGGAGAGAAAUGUGAAAUAUAUAUUUUGCACUUGAAAUAGGUAAUUGAUAUAUGUCGUGUCAAACAAAUAGUUAAUUUAAUUUGUAGUUUUAGUGAUAAAGUUUGAUUAAUUUUUAGAGUGUGUAAUUUAUUUUCACCAUUAUAAAUUAAUUACAUACGCUUUAAAUUCAUUGUAAUACAAUGUAAAUUACCUUGGUUAUUAUUAAUUAUUUCUAUUUUUCAUCUUCCUAUGUAUUAACUUUUCUCAUAAUCUAUUUAUUUUCCUUUGCCUCAAAACAUUGCUGUCAGAUAUAUAUAAGUUACUGAUAUUAUUUUGUUUCUUUUUGUUGUCUACUCUUUACCAUGCUACCAUAUCUUAUGUGUCAAUUUAGCUAUCAAACUUUUUUCAGGUAGAAUAUUAAUGACCCAUGAAAUUUAUUCUUGAAAAGCUCGGUGUUUUCGAAGUUAUUUCCUAAUCUAUUUUCCAAGUUAUUAUAUAGAUCUUAAGAUUAUUGAAUACUUAUUUGUUAAAUUGAAGCAAAUUACUCUGUCAUGAAUUUUAUUACAUCUACAUUUUUAUCUAUUGUACUUAAAUUUGACCUUUUUAUAGCAAGGGUAAAACUUAUCUGCACCGAAUGUAUACACCAAAUCAAUACAUGCAUGCUAUGUGUUUAAAUUUAUAGUUUAUUUUACUUAACUAUAAUUAAUUAACAUAUAUUUUACUUCAUCAAAUCACGUAAUAAUGAAAAUUGCAUUAGUUGAGUGCAUAUAUUCGGUGCGAAUACGUUUUUUCCUAUAUAUAAACACAUUUAUGUAAUGAGAAAUAGACAAUGUAACAAAGAAAAUUACAAGUUUAUUUUGUAGAAUAGUCUAGGUGUUCUUAUAAUGCAAAUGUGCUAUAUCUAUAUAUAAUAUAAUAGUGUUGUUCUGCCACAAAAUUAAGGGAAAAUGAUGAAAUUACAUCUCAUCAGAGGGUUUUUUUUUUUUUUGGCAACCAAUGUGAAAAUUACCAUUAACAAACAAACAAAACUUACAAACUAAGAGCAUUUCAACCUCAGUACCUUAACUGGUAUUAGAGGAGUGACCUCAUCAACUCAAACUACUUACAUAAAUUCUACCAAAAACUCCUACAUCUAUGUGCUCUUUUGGUAUUCUUAUGCAUGUCUAUCCUCGCUAUAAGUUCUCGAAUUAUUCCCUCCACUAUGUCAGUAUACUGUAUUUGUACUCCUUUGAAAUGCUUCCAAUUCCUUGCCUUCCAGAUGUGAUACACUAUUGCUCCCCAAAUAGCAGUCACCACCUCUUUCUUAAACUUCUUCCAAUGCUUCAACUUUAUCAUCUCCAAUGUAGUUUUUAACUCUUUUGCGGGAAUAAAGAUGUUGGCCCAUUGUAGUAAUUUAGCUCUCACCUUUGCAACAUAUUCACACUCUACAAACAUGUGCUUGUACGACUCUAUCAUUCCAUUUUGACACAGGCAGCAGCUAUUGUCUUCUACAUAUACUCCCAUAUUUAUCAACCUAUCCUUUGUGAGCAAUCUAUUUUGCAUUGCUAGCCACAAAAAGAACCUCUGCCUAAGUAAUACGACAGAGUUCCAAACUAAUUCAGCUACCUCAAGUUUCUCUUGAUUGCCUAUCAGAUCAUUAUAUCCACUUGUAAUUGAAUACUCCCCAUUUGUUGUAAGGUUGAACUGCCCUUACGUAUACCAUUGUUGCAUCAUAUUUUUCAGGGAGUUUAUUUUCCUCCAGUACCAACUACUAUCAACUGGUGCUUUGUGAGUCCAGACUGUAUCAGUUUUUAUGUAAAUCCCAUGCACCCAUUUCACCCAUAAGGAUUCCUUCCUCAUAACCAAUUGCCAUAAGAGCUUUCCAACAAUGGCUACAUUCCAUUUACCACAUCCUUUUAUAUUAAGUCCGCCCUGCUUCUUUGGAUAACAUAUUUUCUCCCAAGAAACCAAUGACACUUUCCUUUUUUCCUCAUUGCCUCCCCACAAAUAUUCUCUGCAUUUCUUGUCCACCUCUUUCACUACACUCUGAGGUAGGAUGAACACUGAGCCCCAAAAACUGUGUAUGGAGAACAAGACUGCCAAGAUCACUUGAAGUCUGCCUGCAUAGGAAAGUUGUUUUGCAUAGGUGUACUUGAUCCUGCUUGUUAUUUUAUCAACUAGUUGAUGGCAUUCCAUUUUUCCCCACCUUUUUGAUCUCAUCAGAGAGUUAUUAUUAAUAAAACACGAUCGGAUGUAUACACCCAAUUAAUACAAUUUCUAUUAUUUCAUGAUUUAAUGAAGCAAUUAUUUCGUAAUUUAAUGAAGCAAAACAUAUGUUAAUUAAUUAUGGUUAAGUAAAAUGAACUAUAAAUUUAAACACAUGACAUGCAUAUAUACACCCAAUGUAUACACCCGAUGUAGUGGACUCAUUUUAGGAUGCUUGGAGUCAUGUGACUUGCACAUAGAUGGGUCUGUUAAUGAUUUUAACAGAAGUUUCAUGAAGGAUGGAAUUUGCUAAGUUUUGAAUACAUUAAGGAUGAUUUUUGUUCAAUAUGAUAGUUGAAAGAUGUACAUUAAGUUUUGGUUAUAGAUAAAGAUGUUUUUGGUCAAAAACUCAAUAAAAGUAAUAUAAGUAGCAAAUCCUAGCAGGUUCUCUCACUCUUGCCUCUUUUUCUUCUCUCUAGCCUACAUUUAGGGUUUGUUGAUCGGUUCACAAUUCUCCUUCAAAGAUGAUCGUUUUGAGGAGCUCCGACGGAGAGACCUUUGAGGUCGAUGAGGCGGUGGCGCUAGAAUCGCCGACCAUUAAGCAUAUGAUAGAGGACGACUGCACUGACACCAGCAUCUCUCUACCCAACGUUACUAGCAAGAUCUUAGUCAAGGUCAUCGAAUACUGCAAGCGCCAUGUGGAGGUUCCUAAAGCUGAGGAUAAGACCGCCGAAGUGGAUCUCAAGACUUUCGAUGCUGAAUUCGUCAAAGUUGAUCAGAGCACCCUUUACGAUCUCAUGCUGGUAUGGAUCUUUUUAAAUCUAUAUGUAUAUCUUAGUUGAUUCGUAUGUGUUUUUGAUUACGAUGAUCCGAUGGUUCAAUUAUUAGUGUGCAGGAUUGCUGAUUCUUUAAUUAAUUUAUCUAAAUAACUAGAAAGAGGCAAAAGUCAUAUAACUUUUUUAUAUUCUAAAAUUAUAGUUGGAUGAAAUAUGUGACUCCUAUGGUAGAAAUGUCAUAUAGAAGCCAAGGGUGUGGCUUGGUGGUCAAUGAAAUGGUUGAGAGCCAUCAGAGGUUCAAUUCAGUGGAGACAAAAAACAUUAGGUGGUUCAUCCCAUCUAUCCUAGCUUCACCUGGUAUUUGUUGUUGAUGGGAGGUGGUAGAAAUCCCAUCGAAUUAGUCGAGGUGCGUGAAAGCCGACCAAGACACCACGUACAUCCAGUAAAGUGUCAAAGCAGUAGCAAAUAAGAGAAGAGCAGUAUCAAAACCAAAAAGAACGAAUGUUUCUAUAUUUGGAAGUUCUUUAAUUUUUCCAUUUACCCUUAGUGACAUUCUCUUAUAGGCAAUGAUAAUGUCAUUUAGUGACAUGUUUAGAUCACAUGUUCCAACUAAAAAGUACUUUCUAUGUGUUAGAACUUCCUUUAUCUUUAUUAAAUUCCAUUCCCAGUCAAGCACCACCUCCAUAUAAAAUUAACCAGAAGAUUAUUAGUUUUCUGUGAUCAGUUUGGUAAUUUUUUGUUAGGUUUUGUUUAUCUUGUGAAUCUAUGGUAGUUUGUCAAUUCACCUUUUACUUCUGGCUACCAUUGCCUAUCGACAUCGCUUUUGUUUGCUGUCUCUUCCAUAGACUGAGUUUCCGCUCUAGUUUGCUCCUGUUUAAGCUUCAAUGGUAAUAUACAUUUAGUUUAUUAGGGCGGUCACGAAUAAAUUAAUCAAUCAAUUAUGUCUCAGUCCCAAACUAAAUCAUUUCUUCCAUAUCCUUUCUGCUUUAUUUGGCUCCAAGGACAUGUCUAUGUGUAGUUGUUUUGUUGUAGUAAACAAUAAACUGCAGUUGGUUGUAGUUGUUUGAAGUAAUGAAAUGGCGUUUGACUGCUACUUCUAUAGUUCUAUUAGUCUGUUAUGUUUGGCAAAAAACAAUUCCCUUUGUCAUGGUUAAGUGAACUUUCUUUUGCUUAGUACAACAGUAUAGUACUAUAGUGGCUCAUUCUAAAACAAUGGGUAAGAACUAAGAAGAUUUGCUGUAACACUAAAAUUGAAAAUAAAACUAAAACAUAGUAACAUACUUGUAAUUGUAAAAUUAGAGUGAAGCAUAUAUUUUACCUUUAGAACAUGUAGUCAUACUUUAGUUUGUUGCCUAUUUUAAGAAAUAAAUGCUAUAUGGACAUGUUUGCAGCACAUUUUGUUUACAUGUUUGAUGUGCCUCUCUGUUCCACCUCCUGAGUUCUUGCCUGGGUAUUUUGAAUCUGUAGAGUGGCUAACAAUUGUUGAAUGUGUUUUUAAUUGUUAAAUUUUGCUGUUUCUUUUAAGCUUACUUGUAGGUUUCCAUUUCUUUUUAGUUAUUGCUAUUAGCAUUUAAUGAUUUACAAUGGACCCUCCCUCUUAGUAUCUAAUUUUCUCAAGUUUGUAGAGAUUUUCUUUUACCUUUUUCUGUUGAGAGCUUGUAUUUGAUGUUUACUGUGUUUAGGUGAUCUCACCCUAUGGCUGUUGUUACUGUUCCUUGCAUAUAGUUCUUUGCUAUUCGUUGCUAUGUUUCUCCACCUAUUUUUUCGUUUUAUUACUGCUUGGAGUUGCUUGAGCCGAGGGUCUUUCGGAAACAGCCUGCGUACACUUUACCCUCCCAAACCCCACUUUGUGGGAUUUCACUUGGUAUGUUGAUGUUGAGAGCUUGUAUAGAGGUUAAGUAUCCUUUGCGUUGUCUCUUUUCAGGCUGCCAACUAUUUAAACAUAAAGAGCUUGCUAGAUCUGACAUGUCAGACAGUAGCAGACAUGAUCAAGGGAAAGACGCCUGAGGAGAUAAGCAAGACAUUCGACAUCAAGGAUGACUUGACUCCUGAGGAAGAGGAAGAAUUCAGGAGGGAGAAUGCCUGGGCAUUCGAGUGAAUUUGAGUCUGUUAAGCAUCCAUAUCUGUAGAUAGAUCUGCAAUAUACUUUAGUAGAUGCUAUGAAUAACUUAUAUCAGUAAGUGUGUGACUGUUGUUUCUCGGACAUUCUGGCUUUGGCUGUUGAACAUCUUUUGCUCUGUUAUGCCGUGGUUUCUUAUGUUCUAAGUAAAAAUUGAAGGUAAAAUCAUGUUGGUAGCCGAUGUCCAUUUUCAUUGAUCUAUUAUUGGAAAUUCAUAUUGUUUGUUGUGUUUAUCA